This 460-nucleotide ribosomal RNA is filed under the name uncultured bacterium. RNAcentral's name for it is "partial 16S ribosomal RNA". It matches the Rfam family "Bacterial small subunit ribosomal RNA", at positions 338 to 795 of the family's 1533-position model. The record is from RNAcentral.
CCUACGGGCGGCUGCAGUGAGGAAUAUUGGUCAAUGGACGAGAGUCUGAACCAGCCAAGUAGCGUGAAGGAUGACUGCCCUAUGGGUUGUAAACUUCUUUUAUAUGGGAAUAAAAUGUUCCACGUGUGGGAUUUUGUAUGUACCAUAUGAAUAAGGAUCGGCUAACUCCGUGCCAGCAGCCGCGGUAAUACGGAGGAUCCGAGCGUUAUCCGGAUUUAUUGGGUUUAAAGGGAGCGUAGGUGGAUUGUUAAGUCAGUUGUGAAAGUUUGCGGCUUAACCGUAAAAUUGCAGUUGAAACUGGCAGGCUUGAGGACAGUAGAGGUGGGCGGAAUUCGUGGUGUAGCGGUGAAAUGCUUAGAUAUGACGAAGAAUUCCGAUUGCGAAGGCAGCUCACUGGACUGCAACUGACACUGAGGUUCGAAAGUGUGGGUAUCAAACAGGAUUAGAUACCCGGGUAGUC